GGCAGAAGUCCGUGCAGUAUUCAGUAGUGGCAGUGGUCUUGUUGCUGGAUGCAUGGUAGUAGAAGGAAAGCUGGUAAAGGGCUGUGGCAUUCAAGUUCUGCGGAAGGGUAAAACGGUGUAUAAUGGUCAACUUGAUUCACUGCGACGAGUCAAAGAAAUCGUGAAAGAGGUAAAUGCUGGCUUAGAGUGUGGAGUUGGAAUGGAGGAUUACAAUGAUUGGGAGGUGGGGGAUGUAAUAGAGGCCUUUGACACCAUUAUGAAGAAGCGG
Molecule: unclassified non-coding RNA, 268 nt
Filed under: Hevea brasiliensis (rubber tree)
Lineage: Eukaryota; Viridiplantae; Streptophyta; Magnoliopsida; Malpighiales; Euphorbiaceae
Source: RNAcentral